Long non-coding RNA from Centruroides sculpturatus (bark scorpion), 930 nucleotides. RefSeq lists it as uncharacterized. The record is from RefSeq and is a predicted model, not a curated record. Lineage: Eukaryota; Metazoa; Arthropoda; Arachnida; Scorpiones; Buthidae. The transcript is spliced from 3 exons.
UUAGAGUCAAAAGUCAUUCUUGUGUGUAUAAAAUCUGGAUUACGGAACAUAUUUAUUCUUUAGUGUAAGCAGACAAUACAGCAUUUAUUUUCUAACAAUAAAAAGAAAACAAUCUAAGUAUAUUUCUUUUACGCCACUUUAUUCUUCUUCCUUCAAUAUUUAUUUACGGAUGCCAUUUCGACAUCAUUAAUUUUAAAUUAUGUCAUAAAUAUAAAAUGUACAACGUCCGCGAUUUACGCAUGGAUCAUGUUUCCGGAUUUACGCAAUUUACGCGAAUUAAAAUUAAUUCUUCUGUAUCAUUAAAGCAGGAAAAUGCGUUCAGAACAACCCGUAAGGUCAUAGUAAUAAUUCCUGGGUUUAUUUGUUGAAGACAAAUUAAAAUUAGAAUUUUUUUGAAAAUAAUUAACUUGAAUGAGAUGAAGUUAAAUGAAAUUUAUAAGAUUUAUGGGGGAUGACAACCGAAGAGUUGCCUCUGCGAAGGACUUUAUAAACUGGCCUCUAUUUAGGUAUUAAUUCAAGUAAACGGGCGCAAACUCAAGAUCAAUUGCCAGUGUUCAUAUCUUAAUUCAAUCUUUUUAUGCUCGAUGUGAACACGUAGACAGAGAUGGGAAGAGGAUGUGGAGGAUGAUUUGAGAAAGAUGGAAAGGGAAAGCCCAAGAUAGAGAGGAAUGGGUGAAAAUCCUGGAUGAGGCUAAGGUCCUUCAGUGACUAUGAGUGAUGAAGAGAGAGAGAGCGAGAGAGAGAGAGAGAGAGAGAGUGAACACGUAGACCGUUAUUUUAGUUUAUGUGUUUUUCUCGAAUAUCAAAUCACAUUAUAACGUUGGCAAUUACAAAAGUGCUCAAAUAAGGCGUAUAAAUUAUGACAGAAUUAACUUUCACUGCGUGUUAAAAUUAUUUUUAAUAAAUAUUAUUAUUUUAAAUGACUAAUAA